UGGGUUUGACAUCCUCUGCACUCCCCUGGAAACAGGGCUUUCCCGGCUCUGUCGGGACAGAGUGAC
RNAcentral lists this ribosomal RNA (66 nucleotides) under uncultured bacterium. RNAcentral's name for it is "partial 16S ribosomal RNA". The record is from RNAcentral.